GCACCCUCAAGCCUUGCUUGGUGUUGGGCGCUUGUCCCGCCGUCGCGCGCGGACUCGCCUGAAAUGAAUUGGCAGCCAGCCGCCUGGGCUCGGAGCGCAGCAGAAUCAGCGCAGCGAGACCCGGCGUCGCGGCGUCCACAAGCCCCUUUUUACCAC
Molecule: unclassified non-coding RNA, 156 nt
Filed under: uncultured Pleosporales
Lineage: Eukaryota; Fungi; Ascomycota; Dothideomycetes; Pleosporales
Also listed under: 1 other name
Description: sequence contains ITS2
Source: RNAcentral